UAACAAGAUGCAUACGAUGUGGC
This 23-nucleotide non-coding RNA is filed under the name Drosophila melanogaster (fruit fly). The record is from RNAcentral. Lineage: Eukaryota; Metazoa; Arthropoda; Insecta; Diptera; Drosophilidae.